GUGACUCCGGUGUCUUGCAGCGUGUAUUACACUUCCACCCUCACCGCUAACGCCAGCGCAAUCUACUUCCUCCUUCGUGCCGGGUGACGUCACCGCGUGGCGUUGGACGAUACCAAUGCGAGGCGCAUACAAAACACCCGUACAACUCAGCUCUCUGGUCAGACCAACAUUUUAUUGAUUUUGUACAGUACAGGAAGCUUCACGCUCUCUGGACAAGAUCCUUCUUAAUCCUCCUCGUCAUCAUCACCUCCUCCAGCUCCACCCUGACCCUUCUUGGCGUUCUUUCUCUUUACACGGCCUGGACGUCCACCACCAUAUGGGGACCUGAGGGAGAAGUCGAUGUGCUUCUGGCUGUCCAGGCGAACCACAAAGGAGGGGAUGUUUACCACCUGUUUGCGGACACUGUCAAGACAAAAAAAAAAAAGAGAUAAAUAUCAAAAUAAA
Long non-coding RNA from Betta splendens (Siamese fighting fish), 444 nucleotides. RefSeq lists it as uncharacterized. Lineage: Eukaryota; Metazoa; Chordata; Actinopteri; Anabantiformes; Osphronemidae. The record is from RefSeq and is a predicted model, not a curated record. The transcript has 2 exons.